UACGUAGGGUGCGAGCGUUUGUCCGGGAUUUAUUGGGCGUAAAGAGCUCGUAGGCGGUUUGUCGCGUCGGCCGUGAAAUCUCCACGCUUAACGUGGAGCGUGCGGUCGAUACGGGGCAGACUUGAGUUCGGGUAGGGGAGACUGGAAUUCCUGGUGUAGGCGGUGAAAUGCGCAGAUAUCAGGAGGAACACCGGUGGCGAAGGCGGGUCUCUGGGCCGAUGACUGACGUGAGGUGCGAAAGCGUGGGGGAGCAA
This 254-nucleotide ribosomal RNA is filed under the name uncultured bacterium. RNAcentral describes it as "partial 16S ribosomal RNA". It matches the Rfam family "Bacterial small subunit ribosomal RNA", at positions 524 to 771 of the family's 1533-position model. The record is from RNAcentral.